Molecule: ribosomal RNA, 652 nt
Filed under: uncultured archaeon
Lineage: Archaea
Description: bacterial SSU rRNA
Rfam family: Archaeal small subunit ribosomal RNA
Source: RNAcentral
CGGUUGAUCCUGCCGGACCUGACUGCUAUCGGAUUGAUACUAAGCCAUGCGAGUCAUUGUAGCAAUACAAGGCAUACGGCUCAGUAACGCGUAGUCAACCUACCCUAUGGACGGGAAUAACCUCGGGAAACUGAGUAUAAUGCCCGAUAGAACAUUAUGCCUGGAAGGGUUUAUGUUCCAAAUGAUUUAUCGCCGUAGGAUGGGACUGCGGCCUAUCAGUUUGUUGGUGAGGUAAUGGCCCACCAAGACUAUUACAGGUACGGGCUCUGAGAGGAGUGGCCCGGAGAUGGGUACUGAGACACGGACCCAGGCCCUAUGGGGCGCAGCAGGCGAGAAAACUUUGCAAUGUGCGAAAGCACGACAAGGUUAAUCCGAGUGAUUUCUGCUAAAGGAAUCUUUUGUCAGUCCUAGAAACACUAACGAAUAAGGGGUGGGCAAGUUCUGGUGUCAGCCGCCGCGGUAAAACCAGCACCUCAAGUGGUCAGGAUGAUUAUUGGGCCUAAAGCAUCCGUAGCCGGCUCUGUAAGUUUUCGGUUAAAUCUGUACGCUCAACGUACAGGCUGCCGGGAAUACUGCAGAGCUAGGGAGUGGGAGAGGUAGACGGUACUCGGUAGGAAGGGGUAAAAUCCUUUGAUCUAUUGAUGACCACCUG